AUUGAACGCUGGCGGCAGGCCUAACACAUGCAAGUCGAGCGGAUGAAGGGAGCUUGCUCCUGGAUUCAGCGGCGGACGGGUGAGUAAUGCCUAGGAAUCUGCCUGGUAGUGGGGGAUAACGUCCGGAAACGGGCGCUAAUACCGCAUACGUCCUGAGGGAGAAAGUGGGGGAUCUUCGGACCUCACGCUAUCAGAUGAGCCUAGGUCGGAUUAGCUAGUUGGUGGGGUAAAGGCCUACCAAGGCGACGAUCCGUAACUGGUUUGAGAGGAUGAUCAGUCACACUGGAACUGAGACACGGUCCAGACUCCUACGGGAGGCAGCAGUGGGGAAUAUUGGACAAUGGGCGAAAGCCUGAUCCAGCCAUGCCGCGUGUGUGAAGAAGGUCUUCGGAUUGUAAAGCACUUUAAGUUGGGAGGAAGGGCAGUAAGUUAAUACCUUGCUGUUUUGACGUUACCAACAGAAUAAGCACCGGCUAACUCCGUG
Molecule: ribosomal RNA, 484 nt
Filed under: uncultured bacterium
Lineage: Bacteria
Description: partial 16S ribosomal RNA
Rfam family: Bacterial small subunit ribosomal RNA
Source: RNAcentral